RNAcentral lists this ribosomal RNA (497 nucleotides) under uncultured bacterium. RNAcentral's name for it is "partial 16S ribosomal RNA". It matches the Rfam family "Bacterial small subunit ribosomal RNA", at positions 28 to 507 of the family's 1533-position model. The record is from RNAcentral.
GACGAACGCUGGCGGCGUGCCUAAUACAUGCAAGUUGAGCGCUGAAGGUUGGUACUUGUACCCACUGGAUGAGCAGCGAACGGGUGAGUAACGCGUGGGGAAUCUGCCUUUGAGCGGGGGACAACAUUUGGAAACGAAUGCUAAUACCGCAUAAAAACUUUAAACACAAGUUUUAAGUUUGAAAGAUGCAAUUGCAUCACUCAAAGAUGAUCCCGCGUUGUAUUAGCUAGUUGGUGAGGUAAAGGCUCACCAAGGCGAUGAUACAUAGCCGACCUGAGAGGGUGAUCGGCCACAUUGGGACUGAGACACGGCCCAAACUCCUACGGGAGGCAGCAGUAGGGAAUCUUCGGCAAUGGACGAAAGUCUGACCGAGCAACGCCGCGUGAGUGAAGAAGGGUUUCGGAUCGGAAAACUCUGUUGGUAGAGAAGAACGUUGGUGAGAGUGGAAAGCUCAUCAAGUGACGGUAACUACCCAGAAAGGGACGGCUAACUACGUG